AGCACAGUUGGUGGAUCAUAUGGCAAAAGUAUGUUUUGUUUUAUGGGCACUGCCAAACUGUCUUCCAAAGCACUUCUGCCAUUUUCCAUGCCUAAAAGCAAA
RNAcentral lists this microRNA precursor (102 nucleotides) under Marmota monax (woodchuck). The record is from RNAcentral. Lineage: Eukaryota; Metazoa; Chordata; Mammalia; Rodentia; Sciuridae.